Molecule: unclassified non-coding RNA, 4546 nt
Filed under: Leishmania donovani
Lineage: Eukaryota; Euglenozoa; Kinetoplastea; Trypanosomatida; Trypanosomatidae
Description: gene:LdHU3.34.1330(CDS-product:serine/threonine-p rotein_phosphatase_PP1_putative)
Source: RNAcentral
AAAAAGAAAAUAUCACCGACCAUAUAGUAAAGCCCCUCCCCCUCCUCCUUCUCCGCCUACCUAGAAACAGCGAACAACAACAAAGACGAGGGCGCUGCACGCAUACUGUGCCGCUUCUCUUCUUCGUCUUUUUUGUUCGGGGCGGGGGGGAUAUUUGCGCCUAACGGUUAAGCUCGCGUGUGCUCCUCUUCUGCCCUUCUUUUUUUACCUUCGUUCAUCUGCUUGCAAACGCUUCGAAAUAGGAUUAUGCAUCUGCGCACGGUUUCUUUUCCAUAUCCCCUCUGUAUUCCUCUCAACAGGUUCCCAUUACCAACGCUCAACCGCGUUGGCGCACGCCUUUGUGAGCCUGUGUGUACGACAAGUACAUCUUGUGUACUGAAGCGCUGCGCUUCUGUCUUACGUGCGUCUGCCGUCUUGUUGCUCGUCAGUCUUUGCAGGCUUUAUAUCGCGAACCGCUUCGUUUUGAGCAUCGUUGCUUUUCUCUUUUUUUCUGUCUGCGUUGUGACCAUCUCUUUUUUUUCGCAUUUGUUGUAUGCUACCUCACCUUCCCAUUCCCCGUGUGUGCGUGCGCAUCUACAGCUACUACCCGGAACGCUGGAUUGGACGCUGCGCGUUGUGCCGGCCGCCGUACAGGCACGUAAGAGGAUACGCUACCUCAUGUUGUCGUCGUAGAGGUUACAGCCGAGGCAACCGUUCAUCGUCGCCACGAGCGCAGAAAAGAGCUGGUGCAGAGGAGGUGCCGAGAGUACUCAGACCAGUCAGGACGGACAGCAGCAUUUCGCUUCCCAUUGCCUUCACAGACUUUUUUUUUGUUGUUCAGGGCGAAGAGAAGGAGAGGUGCUGUACGCACAUACCACCGUUGACAGAAACAGACAGGCCGAGAGACGCACUUCCUAGUGCCUUUGCUUUCCUGCUGCGUUCAACCAUUUUUUUUUGUGUUUCUUCCUUUUCUCUUCAGGUAAGAGUACUUACACCAUUAAGGUGCACGGCCCGCACCGUCCCUUCCCCCUUCCCCCUUCCUACCCCCCCCCACAUCCUCCUUAACUUCUCUGGGGGAGGGAGAAGACGGCUAAUCUUUUCAACCUUGUUUUUUUUUCUUCAAAGGACGGAAGGCAUUAACCAUCACUGGUGCUCAGAAUCAUCGAAAGGAAAAGAGAGACGCGGUACCCCGGGGUUAGCAUCCCAGCCACAGGCAUACACACCCACACCUGCACAAUCCACAAGCAAAACGACACAUAGAACGAUGGCGAGCUCUACCUCACCCUCCUCCUCCACAGUGCCGCAGACGCUAAUAGAGAAACUGCUGACGGUGCGUGGUGCCUCCGCACAACGCCAGGUGCUCAUCAAGGAGGAGGAUAUACGCGUGGUGUUGGAGACUGUCCGAGAGAUUUUUAUAACGCAGCCAAUGCUCCUCGAGAUCCGCCCGCCUGUGCGCGUGUGUGGCGACACGCACGGACAGUACUACGACCUGCUGCGCAUCUACGAGAAGUGCGGCUUCCCCCCAUACUCGAACUACCUGUUCCUCGGCGACUACGUUGACCGCGGCAAGCAGAGCGUCGAGACGAUCGUCCUGCAGUUCUGCUACAAGAUUGUGUACCCCGAGAACUUCUUUCUUCUGCGCGGCAACCACGAGUGCGCUAGCAUCAACAAGAUGUACGGGUUUUUCGAUGAUGUGAAGCGGCGGUAUAACAUCAAGCUGUUCAAGGCGUUCACGGACGUGUUCAACACGAUGCCCGUGUGCUGCGUGAUUAGCGAGAAGAUCAUCUGCAUGCACGGUGGCCUUAGUCCUGACCUGACCGAUCUUACCGCCAUUAACGAGAUUCUUCGUCCGUGCGACGUGCCUGAUCGCGGCAUCCUGUGCGAUCUGCUGUGGGCCGAUCCAGAAAACGAAGUUCGCGGCUUCCUGGAGAGCGACCGCGGCGUGAGCUACCUGUUCGGCGAGGACAUUGUGAACGACUUCCUGGAUAUGGUGGACAUGGACCUGAUUGUGCGCGCGCAUCAAGUUGUGCAACGUGGCUACGAGUUCUUUGCGAGCCGUCAGCUUGUGACCGUGUUCUCUGCGCCGAACUACUGCGGUGAGUUCGACAACGACGCUGCCGUGAUGACCAUCGACGACAAGCUGCAGUGCUCCUUCCUCAUCAUUCCGGCUGCCAAGUAGUGACGGAGCGGCACCACCGGGCCCCAAAAGAUGCUGACGCGGCCUGUUUGAAUAAUUUUUUGUCUGUUAUUUCACCUGCAUCCGCCUCCUCGGGCUCUUGAUAUGAGGCCGCACACGGGAGAGUGCUCAUCCCUUUCUCUCACUUCUGUAAGUUCUUGUGUUGCCCGUUGCUUCCUGUUUUUUCGGCUUGAUGAUAUCGACCGCGGUUACGAGAGACACCUUGGCAUGGUAUCACAGGUUCCCGUACCCGGUGUGUGUGUGCGUGGAGAAGCCGGGCAGCCCCCCUCCCCUCCUGUGCUUGCGAAAUGCCGAGCGGCUUCUGGCGGUGACAGGGUCUGGUGACUGCGACGUGGGGAGGUCAGAGCGAUGCAUUGCUACUGAUGUCGGCAGUGAGGUCGUGGGCGGCGUUGCGUCGGAGCGACCCGCGCCGCUGAACGCGUCGGCGCCAUCGACAUGAUGGGCGAAGUGCCAGCGUGACUGGAAGGCGUCGCAGCCGGCCCUCACACUGCCCGCUGGUGUGUGUGGCGGGGGGCCUGGGGCACCGCACGAGGGGGUGCGCGAGGUGGUGGCGUGCGUGAUGGGUGCGGCUGUGAGGCGACCUGCGAGGCCGGGGCGGUGCUGAGGUGACUGCGUGUGUGCGCAUUGCUGUGAGGCAUGCGUCUCUGGCUGCAUUGCACCACGCGGGGUGCGCCUGUGGCAGGGCCGGGGAGGGCUGGAGUGGGGCUUGACUCCUGUUGUAUGGCAGAGAAAUAGACACGUUGGCAAAAUAACAAAAAGCCAAUGAUAUUAUUCAGCUCUUUUUUUUAUUCUUGCUUGUAGCUGUGCUUUACCCCCCUCCUGCGCUCUCUCUAAACUGGCGAUGCGGACUUGUGUCUUGCGCAUGUGUAUGCUUCUUUGCGGGUAGGGACUCGAAGACUGUAGAUCUCUGGGUGUGGUGUCGGUAUGGCGUGUAGUAUGAUGUUGCUGCUUCGUCGGUGAUGUGGGCAUGGCACUCCGCGAAGUGUGCUCCGCGAAGGUUUUCUUCGCGUAGCGGCAGUCAAAAAAAAAACGCGUCCUUGCGAAUGUUGCAGAGCGUCAAGGGCGUAUGCGUUUGCACACUCGGGCGCUAGCGCGGAUCUCACGCACCCGAGAGAAGGAAAAGCAACUCACUGGGAACAGUAGCGAGUGAGUGAGGUAGAGCCGAAGAGAUGGAACGCACGCGCACGUACUGGGAUAAGCGGAAGAGGGGCUUUCUUGCUAUCUUUUUGUCAAUAGUUUUACGUGAAUGGCGGUGAUGGUAGUCACGCCGUUGCUGCCAGUGACCCCCGUUGCUUUCACACUCUCUCUGUGGAGAAUGUGCCGUCAUGGAGAGAAGGCUGCACUCGUUAGUGUGGAUCACGGUUUUCAAUCUACGCUCCCGCUCACUACGUGGCACUUUUCCACCUUGGAGAGCUUUUCUCGUUGUUCUCGAAUCUCGCGCGUGUGGUUGUUCGCGUUGGAAAUGGUGCCCCACUUGUGCUAGCGGUAUCCUUCAUCUACGAGAAGGCGAUGACGUGCACAAGUGUGUAUGAGGAGAGGGCGAUAGUGUGGACGCACCGCCUCCUUUAUCUACUCUCUUCGGUCACUCUAUUGAGGGGACUUCCUGCUCGACACACUCGCCCGCACAAACGCGAAUCGCAGGCGUAGGAGGGUGGAGGAGGCGGGAGAGGGGACGGCACGACUACUCGCACGAGUGCUUUCUUUGGUGGCCCCUCGUACUCUCUGCCUAGCUGCGUAUGCACCUCUUCCUUUCUGCCGUUUUGCAGGUCAGUAUGCGUCAACGCAUCUUUGUUUCAGUCGCGCUCUUCCUGAUGUAUUUUGUGUUUUGCUCCUCCGUGCUGUAGCACCGCACGCGUGUGCGCUUGUGUUUCUUUUUCUCUGCCAUGUGGCGCUCCAACGAACACCUUUUAUAACUGAGGGUCGGCCUUUUAGUCCCGUGCGCUAGUGCUCUUUACUAUCGUUUUGCAGCCUUUUUCGUCCUCCGUUUUUUAUUUCCUUUCCGUUUUCCCCCCAUCUUUCCUUAUUUCGUUCACCCGCUAGAAAGAGUGCAUGCAUAGUCAUCAACAACCGCAACGUCAACUCACCGACGUGCGAAGUCGCUAAAUCACCACACAAAGCAGUGCCGCGGUAUGCAGCGCCACACGUGACUAAAGUUCAUCGGUGCACACUUCAGACUAAGAUGAGGCUCUUCCCACGGCAGCUCGUCCUCUUCCUCCCGUGAGAUCCACCCACGACCAGACGCGAUUUCCUGCACACACACACACACACACACACAAGAAAGCAGACACAACGCCCCUCUCCCCUGCCGUGCUCUGCCUUCUUUGCUUCCUAACCAUCACAUGUCUCUUUCUCUGUCGCUCCCCUUCUCAG